Molecule: ribosomal RNA, 657 nt
Filed under: uncultured Enterobacter sp.
Lineage: Bacteria; Pseudomonadati; Pseudomonadota; Gammaproteobacteria; Enterobacterales; Enterobacteriaceae
Description: bacterial SSU rRNA
Rfam family: Bacterial small subunit ribosomal RNA
Source: RNAcentral
AUUGAACGCUGGCGGCAGGCCUAACACAUGCAAGUCGAACGGUAGCACAGAGGAGCUUGCUCCUUGGGUGACGAGUGGCGGACGGGUGAGUAAUGUCUGGGAAACUGCCCGAUGGAGGGGGAUAACUACUGGAAACGGUAGCUAAUACCGCAUAACGUCGCAAGACCAAAGUGGGGGACCUUCGGGCCUCACACCAUCGGAUGUGCCCAGAUGGGAUUAGCUAGUAGGUGGGGUAAUGGCUCACCUAGGCGACGAUCCCUAGCUGGUCUGAGAGGAUGACCAGCCACACUGGAACUGAGACACGGUCCAGACUCCUACGGGAGGCAGCAGUGGGGAAUAUUGCACAAUGGGCGCAAGCCUGAUGCAGCCAUGCCGCGUGUAUGAAGAAGGCCUUCGGGUUGUAAAGUACUUUCAGUGGGGAGGAAGGCGGUGAAGUUAAUAGCUUCACCGAUUGACGUUACCCGCAGAAGAAGCACCGGCUAACUUCGUGCCAGCAGCCGCGGUAAUACGAAGGGUGCAAGCGUUACUCGGAAUUACUGGGCGUAAAGCGUGCGUAGGUGGUUGUUUAAGUCUGUUGUGAAAGCCCUGGGCUCAACCUGGGAAUUGCAGUGGAUACUGGGCGACUAGAGUGUGGUAGAGGGUAGUGGAAUUCCCGGU